AACGAACGCUGGCGGCAGGCCUAACACAUGCAAGUCGAACGAUGUAGCAAUACAUAGUGGCGCACGGGUGAGUAAUGCAUGGGAACGUACCUUUUAGUGGGGGAUAACUCCGGGAAACUGGAGCUAAUACCGCAUACGCCCUUCGGGGGAAAGAUUUAUCGCUAAAAGAUCGGCCCAUGUGAGAUUAGGUAGUUGGUGGGGUAAUGGCCUACCAAGCCUACGAUCUCUAGCUGGUCUCAGAGGAUGAUCAGCCACACUGGAACUGAGACACGGUCCAGACUCCUACGGGAGGCAGCAGUGGGGAAUAUUGGACAAUGGGCGCAAGCCUGAUCCAGCCAUGCCGCGUGAGUGAUGAAGGCUCUAGGGUUGUAAAGCUCUUUCGCCGAUGAAGAUAAUGACGGUAGUCGGAGAAGAAGCCCCGGCUAACUUCGUGCCAGCAGCCGCGGUAA
This 449-nucleotide ribosomal RNA is filed under the name uncultured bacterium. RNAcentral's name for it is "partial 16S ribosomal RNA". It matches the Rfam family "Bacterial small subunit ribosomal RNA", at positions 29 to 523 of the family's 1533-position model. The record is from RNAcentral.